AAAUUCUGAUUUCAGCUUCCCUUGUAAAAUGGCUGGCGUGCUAAAUACUGAAAUUUGGAAAAAUUGGGAAAAAUCUGGUAAACAAGAAUUUAUUAAAUUUUGUAUACCACUUUUAAAAGAUGAAUCAAAAAGCCCUUUGUUUAAUAAACAUGGUAAAACAACAAAUAUUAUUAGUUAUAUAAAUGAAUUGAUUGAUAAGGGAAUACAGGGGAUAAUAAAAACAGAUCAAGUCUCAGCAACCCUCAGGGAAUUAGUGGCUCUUCAUCCAGAUAUUCCUUCAAUUAUCCUUGAUGUAUUGAAUUUAGCAGAUGCUGUAACGUCGCAAAUAGAUCAUGAGGAAUCCAGAGAAAGAAGUAAUUUUUGUACAAUUGUUAAAGAUUGUGAAAAGUUUUUAUCUGACAAAUUACUUAAAGAGAGAUUGGAAAUAGAUACCUUACAAGAAGUAGGAGUUCUGAAGAAUGGUACAUUUUAUUCAAAAUUUAUCAAAGUUAAAACGAAAUUAUACUACAAGCAACGAAAAUUCAAUUUAUUCCGUGAAGAAUGUGAAGGGUUUUCCAAACUGGUCACAGAACUCAAUAGCGAGUUCACUGAAAAUACAAAUUCAAAAGAUUUGAUAGGUAUAGUUCAAUCUCUAAUAGGUUGUUUCAAUUUGGAUCCAAAUAGAGUUCUAGAUAUAAUAUUAGAAAGUUUUGAAAACAAACCUAAAGAUAGUAAAAUAUUCAUUCCUUUGAUUAAUUCAUAUAUGAAUGAUUCUCGAAUCAUAAGCGAAGUGUUAUCUACCAAGUUUGGAUUUUUAAGGAACAACGAACAAGAAAUUCCACAAUCUCUAUACAUUCUUACAGCUCAGUUACUACAACACAAGAUAAUUCAAUUGGAUGACAUUUAUUACUGGUUGCUUCCUGAGGAUAAAACUAUGAUUGCUGAUUCAGAAAAAAGUCUAAAAGAUGCUAAGGAGUAUGUUAGAAAACUUCAGAUUAUUAGCUUGAAUAAUAAAGAAAAAGAAGAUGCUCCUGAAGAAAAUGAUAAUGAUAGUGAUAGUUACGAAGGGAAUCAGAAAUUGGGUCUAUGUGAAGCAUUAUUAUUGAUUGGUGAUUGGGAGAAUGCACAGACUCUUAUAAAGAGAUUGCCCGAGAGAUAUUCAGUGAAUUAUGAACCAAUUGCUAGUGCAUUAUGUGGAUUAUUACAUUAUAUAAUAGAACCUUUGUACAGCGAGUAUGGUAUUGUGAGUUCAAAAAUACCAAGAACCCCACUGGCACCCUAUGAAGGUAACAUAAAACCCCCUCAAGCACAUACAUUUUUGGAACUCAAAGAUAUAGCUCUGCCAAUGUUUUUCAUGUUAGGGGCUUCAUUACGUUAUGACACCAUAUUAUUAUGUAAAGUUGUCCGGCUUGCCAAGGCAGCUUUGUCAGCUUGCGGUAUAGAUAAUCCCAAGUGUAGUGCACCCUCUGGAAAUUCUAUUUAUUAUGAUAUACUUUCAUUGAUUGAUAUCACUAUACUACCGUCAUUGUCGUACUUGGAUUGCAAUUGUUGUAUAGCUGAAGACAUUUGGACGCUUUUAAAAUUGUAUCCAUACCAGAUUAGAUACUGCUUAUACUCUAGGUGGAAGAAUGAAACAUAUUCUUUAUACCCUGAUUUGUUGAGAAAACGGGCGGAUUCAGAAAAACAAAUUAAAAAUAUCAUGAAACGAGUUAGCAAAGAAAAUGUCAAGCCUGUUGGGAGACUGAUAGGAAAAUUGACCCACUGUUCUCCUGGUUUCUUAUUUGACUAUGUGUUACUACAGAUUCAGGUUUAUAAUAAUUUGAUAGCUCCUGUAGUGGAUUCUUUGAAAUAUUUGACAAAUUUGUCAUAUGAUGUGCUAGGAUUUUGUCUCAUCGAAUCCCUGGCUAAUGCUGAAAAGAAGCGAGUUAAACAUGACAGUACUUCCAUUUCUAGCUGGUUACAGAGCUUGUCCAGUUUUUCUGGUGCUGUCUACAAGAAGUACAGUAUUGAAUUGUCUGGUUUGUUGCAGUUCGUUGCUAAUCAACUUAAAGCACAGAAAAGUUUGGAUUUACUGAUUUUAAAAGAAGUAGUUCAAAAAAUGGCUGGAGUAGAUGCAGCUGAAGAUUUGACAAUGGAUCAAUUGAACGCUCUUGCUGGUGGCGAGUUGUUGAAAUCCGAGGCUGGUUAUUUUAGUCAAAUACGUAACACAAAAAAGUCCUCUUUGAGACUAAAAGAAGCAAUGGCGGAAAAUGAUCUAGCAGUUGCUCUUUGUCUUUUAAUGGCUCAACAAAAUUAUUGCGUGGUAUAUAGAGAAACACAAAAAAAUAGCCAUUUGAAAUUGGUAGGGAAGUUAUCAGAUCAAUGUCAAGACACAUUAGUUCAAUUUGGAACAUUUUUGGGAUCAACGAUGUCUGUCGAUGAAUAUGUCAAUAAACUCCCUUCAAUUCAGAGUAUGUUAACAGAUUAUCACAUACCAUUAGAAGUAGCCUUCUUUUUAGCAAGACCAAUGUUUAAUCAUGCUAUAAAUCAAAAGUAUGAUCAAAUCAGAAAAUUAGAUCCGGGCUAUAAGAAGAUGUCUUCAUCUAUAAAAAAUCAAAAAUAUUGUGAAGCUGUAACUGAAGUAAUGGAACCGGUCUGUUCAUCUUUAACCCUUUUACACCCUCCUCGUGUGUGGGAAGACGUAUCUGCUCAAUUUUUAGCUACAUUCUGGUCUCUCACUAUGUAUGAUCUAUACAUUCCCGAAGAGGUAUACCAACAGGUUAUCAAUAAAACAAAGAUGCAAGCCCAGGCAUGUAUGGAAUCAGGAGCUAAAAGCAAGAAGGAACAGGAAAGAUAUCAAACUUUGGCCGAAAAACUCCAAGAUGAAAAGAAGAAACAAACUGAACAUGUCGAAAAAAUCUUUUACAGGCUAAAACAAGAAAAAGAUAAUUGGUUUUUGUCAAAGUCUGUUAAAACGGCAAAGAAUGAGACAAUAACAAGAUUUCUUCAACUAUGCAUUUUUCCAAGAUGCACUUUUACUCAGAUUGAUGCCGUCUAUUGUGCGAAAUUUGUACAUACCAUACAUUUACUUAAAACUCCAAAUUUUUCUACUCUACUGUUUUAUGAUAGGUUAUUCUGUGAUGUUACAUAUUCAAUAACAUCCUGCACAGAAAAUGAAGCAAUGCGAUACGGUCGUUUCCUCUUUGCGAUGCUAGAAACAGUAAUGAGGUGGCAUAGAUCUAAAGAGGUUUUUGAAAAGGAAUGUGCAAAUUAUCCUGGAUUUGUCACAAAAUACAGAAAAAAUAAUCAACAUGCCGAUAAUUUGGAUAACGUGGACUAUGAAAAUUAUCGACAUGUUUGUCAUAAAUGGCAUUACAAAUUAGCAAAAGCCAUGGUCACCUGUCUGGAAUCCAAAGAGUACGUUCAAAUUAGAAAUUCGUUGAUAAUUCUUAUUAAGAUCAUACCGCAUUUCCCAGUUUUGAUCAAGUUGAGUCAGUUUAUUGAGAAGAGGAUAGAAAAAGUCAGAGACGAGGAGAAAAACAAUCGACAAGAUUUGUUCACCUUGUCUAGUAGUUAUUUGGGCUUAUUAAAGCAGAAGAAUUCCAGCGGCCAAAUGAUGAAAGAAGCCGAUUUUCAUGUACCUCUCGACAAAGAAAAGGGAGGAAAAGGACAUGAAUCUAGAAUUGAGGGUGCCAACAAACAUAAUGGUGAAGUGAAAGAUGACUCUUCGAAGGAGAAAAAGUCUAGACAGUCAUCAGAUGAUACCAGAAGUAGUUCCAAACCUCAGAUAAUUUCUGUUGAUAUAACAGGCAGUAGUUCAAAUAACAAAACCGAAAAACAAAUAGAAGAGCAAGGAAAGGAAAAACGCAGAUCGGAAAGAAAUGAAGAAAAAGAAAGAGAAAAGGAAAAACGAAGAGAAAGAAGAGAAGAAAAAGCAAAUGCAAAAGAUGAAAAAUAUGAAAAGCAAUACAGCAGAUCUCAAGACGAAAGAUACAUUGAAAAGCUUAGUCCAAAAGAUGAAAGUAGAUACACCAAUGAGCAAAUGGAUAGAUAUUAUGAUGACCGAGGUGGAGGCCACUAUUACAGAAGUGACAUUAGGGAUGACAGGGACUUGUUAGCUAGCGGUAAUGGGAGCAUAGGAAGAAGUCAGGAGGCGGAACCCGAUAGAGAUUCAAAACGAAGAAAAGUCGACUCCUCUUCGAAGGUUAGUAUCCAGGUCAGAUAACAUCUGGGUUCCAUCCCACUAUUCAAAUUCCAUAUUGGGAGAUUGGGCUGAAAAGUGGAAAAUGUUUGUCAAUUUUGGCGUUUCAAGUGUUUCGAGACAUUUUAGUGCGCGUGUUGUGAACAUUUUUUUAAAAAGUAUUCAGCAAUUGAGGAGCACAAAAUCAAAACCUAUUUCUACGUGUUUUCUACCCUUUCAAUACCCCCAGAAGAGUAAUUUUAUGUGUGCGAAUCAAGAUUUUAUGUUUUUGAUUGAUUUUUGUUUUUGAAGAGGAAGUUUUGUUGCAAUAUUUUGACUCAAGAAGUAAAAACUAAUAGUAAAAUUAAGUUGAAAGAUAUACAAAGCAUGAAUCAAAUUUAGUAUUUCAAUGGAUUAUCUACUGGAUCGUAAGUUUAUGAAAAAUAAAGAAACAAAUGUAUGCUAAUUACCGCUUUAGUUUCUCGUAUAAUAUCCAAUAAUGGAAGAAAUUAUCUUGAUAUUAAUAAGAAAAUAAAUAAGACUGCUAAUUUUAAUUUAUAAUAUAAUAAAAUAACGAAGUGGCCCGAUGGGUUUGAUGAAAUGGCCUAUAUAAGAAACAUGUGUCUACUACCAUUUGGAUUCUGUUAAAUUUAUACUACUCGAGAAAACUAAAAGAUGCAAACUGGACCAAAAAAUGAGAUGUAUUCACAGAAAAUCUGCAGACAACUAUAAUACUCAUGGAUUUCCCGAUAAGAAUAGUUUGAAAAUAUAAUAUUGAAGAAAACUUAUAGAAGAAUAUUUAUAAUAACCUGUUGAUGUUGGUGAUUUUUUCGAUGUGCUGUAGAAGCUUAUGAAACCCGAAACUUGAAUUGUAACACGAUAUGGAGACUUAUUUUGAUUACCUAAGCCCAAUCUUCCCUAGUUAGUAUUUGGAACAAGGACAUUGCAGAAUUCCAAACAUGAGGAGAGGAAAUCAAAUUCAGAUUUAUUUCCCGAAAA
RNA transcript from Diorhabda carinulata, 5137 nucleotides. It is a transcript of the gene named THO complex subunit 2, with no coding region annotated. Lineage: Eukaryota; Metazoa; Arthropoda; Insecta; Coleoptera; Chrysomelidae. The transcript is spliced from 19 exons. The record is from RefSeq and is a predicted model, not a curated record.